Molecule: non-coding RNA, 1781 nt
Organism: Nelumbo nucifera (sacred lotus)
Lineage: Eukaryota; Viridiplantae; Streptophyta; Magnoliopsida; Proteales; Nelumbonaceae
Source: RefSeq, a predicted model, not a curated record
UUCUCCAAUUGUGAAUAAACAGCCACCCCAUAUUCCAGAUCAACCGGCACCCAUCUCUCCAAAUGUGAAUAUGCAGCGAUGCUCUGUUUUUGUUCGUCCUAUAAUUGAUCAAGAUCUUAGAAAAUCACCUCCAAUUUUAGAAGUAAACGGUAAACCAAAAACCCAUGGAAAAUUACAAAGCAUUGGUGAAUCUCUCUUCUAAUUCGUUUAGCAAAAUUCUCUUUAUUUUUUCACUUUUCUACUUGAUUUUUUUUUUUUUGAAAAAUUCAGUCGAUUUAGUCAUGUGGAGAGACGUAUCGAGAUCAGCAUUUGUGUUUGGAAUCGGGACAUUUUUCCUGCUUUCAUCCUCCUUCACUAAAGACCUUAAUUUCAGCUUAAUUUCUACGUCUUAUCUGGGUCUCAUCUAUCUUGCUUUAAUUUUUGUCUACACAUCAAUUCUCUGCAGGGAACUACAGAUAUAGAUGAUUCAAACCAGACACAUGUACUGGGGGAAGAAGAGGCAAUUUGGUUAAUAAAACUAAUUCUUCCUUACUUAAACGAGUUUCUGUUAAAGCUCAGAAGCUUGUUCUCUGGAGACCCUUCUACCACCAUGAAGGUAAUUCUCUCUCUCUCUCCAUUAAAUUACUAAGAAACAUGAAUUGUGAGAAAUGGCAGUUGGCAAUUUUGUUGUUUGUUUUAGCCCGGUGUGGAAGCUCCAUAUAGCCGGAAGAGCAACCGGAUCAUUGGUCACAUGUCAAGAGCAACCAGUGAUUCUCUUCCGGAGACUCGACAACGAAGCAAACACCAAUGCCGAGAGGAAAACCUUCUUGGGUUAGAGUAGAAAGGGUACCUACAAAGGUUAGCUCCAUUAUUGUCCGAGAAACUUCAGCUGGAGAUGGCUUUUUCUGCAAACCCUUCUGGAUGGGCUCUGAAACUACAGAAAACGAGCAUUUCAGAGGCUGAUACGAGGAUUUGAGAAAUGGAUUUUUCUCUAUAAGACUCAAAGUGGACCUCCUAAUGGGUUCAAUUGAAGAGAAAGUAGAAAAGAAAGAUAUUUCUGCAGAAGGUAGAAGUGGGGAAGAUGGAGGGAAGUGAAUUUAGUGUGAAAGGUUGCGUGUGAAGCACCAUCUGGCGACAUUGAAACAAAAUGAGUUUCACUGGACUUUUCUUAAUUGCUUACAAAUAUUUGAAGAACUGAAUGUGAUUAGAUCAGACUAGGAAGGAGAGCGGAGAAGAACCAGAGCUUAGUCUUCUGACAGAAAAUAAAUUUAGAAUCAGAUGAUAAUUAGAAGCUGGAUCUCGAAUAUGUUCUUCAUCACGAAGCAAUUCCCUCUGGCGGUUCUCAAGGAGAUGAUGAAGCAGAGCUUCUUCCGGGAUGUGUUGAAGAGAGGAGAAUGGAAGCGGCCCAAGGACUUGCAGAGGAUUGUCUUGUACGACACCCUAGUGGAACCCCAUUUGCAGAGGUAGAGAACAGCCGCGGCGGUAAUCCCCGAUCCCCUUUCUCUCCCCUUAUCGCGGCUGCUGUUCGUGGAUCGUGAGAUCGGGGAAGAAGAACAGUGUUUUUCUUGUACGGAGAUUUAAAAAUAUUGUAACCGCGAAUUUCAAUAGAAAGUUAACGGAAGGGGGUUUUUGUCUUAGGGUCAUAGUACAGGGGUCUUUGUUGCAAAAUAAAGUACAAGGGGAUUUUUGUCACAAAGCCCAUAGUACAGAGGGGUCUUUGUAUUUAUCAAAAAAAAAUAGAUGAAAUAAAACACUUGUGAAUCAGGAGCUCACUUAUAAACAGAACGCUUGUAAAACGCACC